GAUGAACGCUGGCGGCGUGCCUAAUACAUGCAAGUCGAGCGAACAGAUGAGGAGCUUGCUCCUCUGACGUUAGCGGCGGACGGGUGAGUAACACGUGGAUAACCUACCUAUAAGACUGGGAUAACUUCGGGAAACCGGAGCUAAUACCGGAUAAUAUAUUGAACCGCAUGGUUCAAUAGUGAAAGACGGUUUUGCUGUCACUUAUAGAUGGAUCCGCGCCGCAUUAGCUAGUUGGUAAGGUAACGGCUUACCAAGGCAACGAUGCGUAGCCGACCUGAGAGGGUGAUCGGCCACACUGGAACUGAGACACGGUCCAGACUCCUACGGGAGGCAGCAGUAGGGAAUCUUCCGCAAUGGGCGAAAGCCUGACGGAGCAACACCGCGUGAGUGAUGAAGGUCUUCGGAUCGUAAAACUCUGUUAUUAGGGAAGAACAAAUGUGUAAGUAACUAUGCACGUCUUGACGGUACCUAAUCAGAAAGCCACGGCUAACUACGU
RNAcentral lists this ribosomal RNA (496 nucleotides) under uncultured bacterium. RNAcentral's name for it is "partial 16S ribosomal RNA". It matches the Rfam family "Bacterial small subunit ribosomal RNA", at positions 28 to 506 of the family's 1533-position model. The record is from RNAcentral.